CCUACGGGUGGCAACAGUGAGGAAUAUUGGUCAAUGGACGAGAGUCUGAACCAGCCAAGUAGCGUGAAGGAUGACUGCCCUAUGGGUUGUAAACUUCUUUUAUAUGGGAAUAAAACGUUCCACGUGUGGGAUUUUGUAUGUACCAUAUGAAUAAGGAUCGGCUAACUCCGUGCCAGCAGCCGCGGUAAUACGGAGGAUCCGAGCGUUAUCCGGAUUUAUUGGGUUUAAAGGGAGCGUAGGUGGAUUGUUAAGUCAGUUGUGAAAGUUUGCGGCUCAACCGUAAAAUUGCAGUUGAAACUGGCAGUCUUGAGUACAGUAGAGGUGGGCGGAAUUCGUGGUGUAGCGGUGAAAUGCUUAGAUAUCACGAAGAACUCCGAUUGCGAAGGCAGUUCACUGGACUGCAACUGACACUGAGGCUCGAAAGUGUGGGUAUCAAACAGGAUUAGAUACCCUAGUAGUC
This 460-nucleotide ribosomal RNA is filed under the name uncultured bacterium. RNAcentral's name for it is "partial 16S ribosomal RNA". It matches the Rfam family "Bacterial small subunit ribosomal RNA", at positions 338 to 795 of the family's 1533-position model. The record is from RNAcentral.